GGUCUAGGAGCCCGAUCAGCGGCUUCCAGCGCGGAGGAGCGACGGCGAGAAGGAGCCACGACAGCCCGCUACCGGAGACCCGAGCAAGUGCGUCUUAACACCCGACCCCACCGCUCUGUCGUCCGGGUGCACAGGGGCUGCGGGUCCCGCUCGAGUCCGUGCAUUGCAGCCGUGAGAGCUAGUUAGCUUACGGGAGAAAGUUAGCCUUGCUGGAAAUCAUGCUAGUGGCUUGACGUUAGCUCCGGGCGGCUGCUGCUGGAAAAAGUUUGUGUUUGUUUUGCUCCUGGUCUCAGUCCGGUGACGUGUCGGACUUGUUGGCCCUCGCAGCUCGUGUCCUGCUGUCCUGACCCCCGCCUCCAUCAUCUGUCCUGAAGCUGAAGAAGAAGAAGAGGAGGAGGAGGAGGAAGAAGAGGAGAGGAGAGGAGGGGGCACAACAACUCUAAACAUGGCGAGUUUCUCAGACAGAGGUAUUCAAAGUGGCUCUUUCAAGUGGUCGGACCGGCACGCAGCCCCGCGGGUGGAGCCCAGAUAAACCCGGUUAGAGCGGUCACCUCGUGUGAUGGCCAAUGACAGUGACGGAUUUCACGUGUGUGUCUCAUUGCACAGUUGCAGAGUGAAUUCAUCUCCAACAUAAAGUGUGUAAGGACUGACUGGAACCUUUAACCUCACAGCUGUCUCCAGGUGGGACACUUCAUCUGCUGCUCCCCCAGAGCUCAUCUGAGGGCCAACAUGUCGGGGUCAGGGGCCACGACUGUGCAGCUGCUCACCAAGCUUGUGAAGCAUGCAGUGGGAAAGGCUCAGAUCCAGCUCAACCGCUGGCUACAGAGGACUGCCACAGAGGACUGUGACAAAAUCGACAUCCUGAUCUGCAGCGCCUUCGACGAGAGAGGAGCCGGAGCGGGGAAGUCGGACGGUGACCCGGAGGUGACCGGUGACCUGGGGGGGACGAGCUUCGCCGGCGGUGGAGGAGACUUCAGACACCCCUGCUGCAUCACCACCUUCUGCUUCAAGGGGGCCCUGCUGGCGUGCAUCCUGACCGCCGUGUGCUUCUCCUCGGUCGCCCUCGUGCGCCAAUACCUCAAGGACCUCCUGCUCUGGGUGGAGAGCUUGGACAGCUUCGUCGGGGCCUUCCUCUUCAUCGUCGGCUUGAUUAUUGUGUCGUUCCCCUGCGGAUGGGGAUACAUUGUUCUUAAUGUGGCAGCUGGCUACCUCUACGGCUUUGUGCUGGGCAUGGGACUGGUCAUGGUGGGAGUGUUAAUAGGGACCUUUGUGGCACACCUGGUCUGCAAGCGCUUACUGACCGACUGGGUGCUGAACAAGGUUGGGAACAGUGAACAGCUCAGUGCUGUCAUACGAGUGGUGGAGGGAGGAAGUGGACUCAAAGUUGUGGCCUUAGCGAGACUCACCCCCAUUCCCUUUGGGCUUCAAAAUGCAGUUUUCUCGAUCACAGAUGUGUCGUUGCCAAACUACCUGGUGGCCUCGUCUGUGGGUCUGUUGCCCACCCAGCUCCUCAACUCCUACCUGGGCACCACGCUCCGCACCAUGGAGGACGUCAUCGCUGAGCAGAGCAUCAGCGGCUACUUUGUGUUCACCCUGCAGAUUGUCAUCAGCAUCGGCCUGAUGUUCUACGUCGUGCACCGGGCUCAGGUAGAGCUCAACGCCGCCCUCGCCGCAUGCCAGAUGGAGCUGAAGUCGUCCCACAUGAACGGGUCCUCCACCAAUCACAGCAGCUCCACCUACUGCAGCAAGAGGGCGACAGCUGGAAGUGGAAACUGCGUUAAUGUGGUGUGACCCUCAAUUAACUACAUGAGGCGGUAGCUCCUAUGACGGAGCUGUAAGACGACAGAUCUGAAGGGGGCCGUCUGAGACACGGCCCGAAACCCGUCGCUGGUGGUUUGAUGGCGACAUCAUUCUGAAGACCCAAGCCUCCCCUGUGUUUACGGAUGACGAUGUCACCUUGUGUUGUCAGCAUCAGAGCGGCAAACACAAACAAACCAGCUUCUUUAAAAACGGAGCAUUGAUUGACUCUAACAGUUUGUCCGGUUCAGACUGAGUCAUAAAGAUGACUCUUAAGAAUGUGACACGGGAAGAUGAAGGCUUCUACAGGUGUGCGUCAGACAGCUGCAGAGUCCAGAGAGCUGGUUAUCAGUGAGACCGGACAGAGGUCAGCUGAACAUCAUCACUCUGCUGUGUGUUCUAUAGAAGUGGAUCAGUGUCACAUAUCAACUGUUGUUUCUUUUAGGAAACUUCACAUCAGAGGAGACUCCAGCCUCCACUGGUAUUUUUCUUAUUCAUAUACAUCUACUUGUUUUGGAGGAAAUACUCAAUAUUAAUCAACACAUUUUCCAUUAUUGAGUGAAGCCUUUUGGUUGUCUGGUUCUCCUCCUGCUCUGUCUUUUCAUCAAGGAUCCCUCAGGAUCUAAUGAGAUGAAAGAAACUACAAUGGGACUCAGUAGAGCGCAUAUUCACCAAGGCCCAGCAGUCCCCUUAAAUACAAUCAAGCUGCACCAAAUUUCACACACUCAUAGAUAUCAGUCCUCUACAUACGGCAGAUUUUUUUCAUUAAGGUCCAAGAAUUAUUCCCUAGGAAAACGUUUUAAAAGCACAAUGUUAAAGAAAGAGUUAAAAAAUGACUGGAUCAGCUUAAUACCAAAAUACAGUGGGCCCUUUCCUGACACUACAUCUGUCUGCCAAGUUGAUUGGAAAUACAAUUGUUGUUGUUAUAACAGUUUUAUUUAUUCAAACAAGUAUUAUGUCGUCUUGAUCAGGUUCCUGGAAAUGGAUCAUUGCUUCAUGUGGGGUUCUACUUCUGAUCGUCAUUCCUUUGACUGUUUGGCUCGUUUGUCACUACAGGUACCAGAAGUUCUGCACUUGGAGCUGCUGGCCUGUUUCCAAACAGGAAGUUCCAGCAGGGGUGCUUCCUGCCACCAAGUUGGAUGUGACGGAGGUGCAGUGGGACCUGUCAUGGAUGGAGAUGUCCAAACUGUUGGAAAAGGAUUCUUAUUGUGGCACUUAAAGGGAAACUCUCUUCUGAAGCCCAGAGACUUAACUAUUGGGUCAAACCUAUGAGAAAGCUCAGUCAGUGCUGCAAUUUGUAGUAUUUGAUGGUCACAUGUCAAAAUAGUGCUACCUGAUAUAUUUUUGAAUUGAAUUAAAUGAGAUGUUUAGGAUUUAUAAGGAUGACUACAUUUGCUGAUGGUGCAGAUUUGAUAGCUUCCAAUACAAAUGUUAUUGUUUCAGUUGUCACAUUUGUCCAUGUCAAUACUCUUGCACAUUUAAACGUCUCUCCUUUGAGUACAUAUUGAAACUAAGAAUCGUAUUUGUUAUAUCUUAUUAUCUUAUCAUUAAUAUAAUUGACUGCUCUAAAUCAUUUUACAUGUAUCAUUUCUCCUGUGUUUGUUCGAGGUUCCAUGUUGUUUGCUCCCUUUGAAUCGUUAUUUGCUAUUUCUUGUCGUCUGAAGUUAUAAAAGUCAUGGAAAUCGUCGUGCUUGUUUUAUAUCUUUUAAGGCAGAACAAACAACUACCAAGAAACUAGAAAUAACUAUAAAGAUUAACCAAACAAAUACAAUUUGACACAAAUCCACUGCAAACAGACAAAAAAAAGACUAAGAGACACAACACAAGUCUGAAGUGGCACAAAAUGGCUACAGAGAAACACACAAAUGUACUACAAACAGACAGAGAAAUGUAGAAAGAGAGAGAAAGAAAGAAAUACUCUACAUAUAUAUUCUACAUGCACCUGAUAAUAUAUUUCCAUUCAGCUGAUUGAGUCAAAUAGAUUUUUUAAAUUUCAAAAUUUACUUCGCUAAUUUAGGCUCUGGAUUUAAAUGCUACAUUUUUUUUAGAAAGACCCGAAACCAUUAUGUGUCUGUCAAGAUAAUUAAGAUGCAUGCCACACUGCAUUAUUCCUCAUAUACUACACUGCUUAUCAUUUAAAAGAAGCACAUGACUGUAAAAUAAAUACAUGUGCAUGCCUUUAGAAGCCGGCAUCUUUGGUAGUAAUUUAAUGCAGUCGAUUUUAUUUUCAGUUCUUCUCUUUAUUGCAUUAGAGCAUUGGUUCCCAAACUGGGGUACGCGAAGUGGUUCAGGAGGUACGCGGGGAAAUAUUUGAUUUGCGUUUUGCAUAGCUCAACUUCUUUCGUGUCCUAUCGCACGUGCUGCGGGGGGUACGUAGCUUGAGAUUGAAUGUCUGAAGGGGUACGGGACUGUAUAAAGUUUGGGAUCCACUGCAUUAGAGGAUGAAAAGGAACCUGAGAAGAAUAGUUUUUUCCACUUUGUUUGAUAAACAGGGGUUUAAACAAACAGAGCUAUUUCUAAUAAUGUUGAAAAUAUUGGCUGUGUCAGGGAUUACAUCUCUUUGCAAGGACUUCACUCUUAUAAUGACUGAUAUAACUCACAGUAUGAGCAACAAAGUAAAGACUCAAGAUCAUCCAGUGCUGCUGUGUGCACACAGUUUGCCAAAAUACAGUAUAAAUAUGACAUGGAUUUUCAGGAAAGCAUUUGGUCUGAGUUACCAGAGGAACAGAGAGGUGACGUGAGGUGCAGGACAGAGAGCAACAUUAAUAUUACAGCCCUGCCCUGUAAGACACGCUGAAGAAGAAUCUGUCAAAACAUCAGGUCAGAAUCUGAUCUCAUAAAAAACUUCUCUUACAUAAUGAAUGGUGUGUUAUGUUGACAAAGAAAUGAAGUACAAAAGGUUACUCCUACAGUUCUUGUUAUCUUUGUACAAUAAUACACAUUUCUAAAGAACAUCUGCAGCAGACAUUGGUUCUUUAUUGUCGUUGAUAUGCCGUUCAUAUGAAGUUCAUAUAUUCCAACAGCCUCUAUAGCGGUCAAACCAGUUAGGCCUCAUUGAUAGACCAUGUUAGCUACCAAUUUGUUGCAUUUUGCAUUAAUAGAUCACUACAAACAGUACACGUCUUCUUAAAUAGACCUAAAAUCGACUUUAGACAGAAAGAUGUUAAGGAUCUCCAGUACUAAGAAUCUAAAACAGUAAAAAUUAACUCUGAGAUGUUUUUGAAAUCCGACCUUCAAAAUCAUACUCUCAUGCCAUGUGUAAGGUAGGGCAGUCGGUGGAUGAACAGAAUGUGUGUCCAUUCAUCGUUGAGGAAGAUAUCAGGAAGUCCUACUGACAAACAUUGUUGUGCAUUUUAAAGAACAAAGUAUUUUCAUGUGAGAGAACAAGCAUUUCAAUGAAAACUAGGGCUGCGCAAAAUGAUCAAAAUGUCAUAUCCUCUUGUAGAAGUCAUUUCAUAUCCAGUUAAUCAUAUGUAUUGUAAUUGGUCAUCCGUCUCCGUGAUUCUUUAGGUUUUGUCUGAGCUCUGAGUUGUAUUACUCUCAUCCAUAGACACCUAUGAAGGUAUUUUCUGCUGCAAAACACUUGUAGAAAAUCGUCUUUUCUUAAAUGUUCUCCAUACAGUGUAACAUGAACCUCUUGGUAAAAUAAAUUUAAACUAUUUAAGUCUGAA
RNA transcript from Pleuronectes platessa (European plaice), 5468 nucleotides. It is a transcript of the gene named transmembrane protein 64, with no coding region annotated. The transcript is spliced from 5 exons. Lineage: Eukaryota; Metazoa; Chordata; Actinopteri; Pleuronectiformes; Pleuronectidae. The record is from RefSeq and is a predicted model, not a curated record.